AGUCGAACGGUAGCACAGAGAGCUUGCUCUCGGGUGACGAGUGGCGGACGGGUGAGUAAUGUCUGGGAAACUGCCUGAUGGAGGGGGAUAACUACUGGAAACGGUAGCUAAUACCGCAUAACGUCGCAAGACCAAAGAGGGGGACCUUCGGGCCUCUUGCCAUCAGAUGUGCCCAGAUGGGAUUAGCUAGUAGGUGGGGUAACGGCUCACCUAGGCGACGAUCCCUAGCUGGUCUGAGAGGAUGACCAGCCACACUGGAACUGAGACACGGUCCAGACUCCUACGGGAGGCAGCAGUGGGGAAUAUUGCACAAUGGGCGCAAGCCUGAUGCAGCCAUGCCGCGUGUAUGAAGAAGGCCUUCGGGUUGUAAAGUACUUUCAGCGGGGAGGAAGGUGUUGUGGUUAAUAACCGCAGCAAUUGACGUUACCCGCAGAAGAAGCACCGGCUAACUCCGUGCCAGCAGCCGCGGUAAUACGGAGGGUGCAAGCGUUAAUCGGAAUUACUGGGCGUAAAGCGCACGCAGGCGGUCUGUCAAGUCGGAUGUGAAAUCCCCGGGCUCAACCUGGGAACUGCAUUCGAAACUGGCAGGCUAGAGUCUUGUAGAGGGGGGUAGAAUUCCAGGUGUAGCGGUGAAAUGCGUAGAGAUCUGGAGGAAUAC
Molecule: ribosomal RNA, 658 nt
Filed under: uncultured Enterobacterales bacterium
Lineage: Bacteria; Pseudomonadati; Pseudomonadota; Gammaproteobacteria; Enterobacterales
Description: bacterial SSU rRNA
Rfam family: Bacterial small subunit ribosomal RNA
Source: RNAcentral